UUGGAGGGCAAGUCUGGUGCCAGCAGCCGCGGUAAUUCCAGCUCCAAUAGCGUAUAUUAAAGUUGUUGCAGUUAAAAUGCUCGUAGUUGAAUUUCGGGGUUAGUAGGUUGGUCAUGCCUCUGGUAUGUACUGGUCUCACUGAUUCCUCCUUCCUGAUGAACCUUAAUGCCAUUUAUUUGGUGUUUUGGGGAAUUUGGACUGUUACUUUGAAAAAAUUAGAGUGUUUAAAGCAAGCUAACGCUUGAAUACAUUAGCAUGGAAUAAUGAAAUAGGACGUUCGAUCCUAUUUUGUUGGUUUCUAGGAUUGACGUAAUGAUUAAUAGGGAUAGUUGGGGGCAUUAGUAUUCAAUUGUCAGAGGUGAAAUUCUUGGAUUUAUUGAAGACUAACUACUGCGAAAGCAUUUGCCAAGGAUGUUUUCAUUAAUCAAGAACGAAAGUUAGGGGAUCGAAGACGAUCAGAUACCGUCGUAGUCUUAACCAUAAACUAUGCCGACUAGGGAUCGGAUGAUGUUAAUUUUUUAAUGACUCAUUCGGCGCCUUACGGGAAAC
RNAcentral lists this ribosomal RNA (549 nucleotides) under uncultured Glomeromycotina. RNAcentral's name for it is "SSU rRNA". It matches the Rfam family "Eukaryotic small subunit ribosomal RNA", at positions 548 to 1098 of the family's 1831-position model. Lineage: Eukaryota; Fungi; Glomeromycota. The record is from RNAcentral.